UUUAUUGGCAAACUUUCACUAAACUUUUGGUAACGGAAAAUCUAUUUGGGAGUAUGUCUGUGGGUGAAAUUUUGCAGGCAGUUACAAUAUAAUUUCACUAUUAGAAACACCAUUAUAAACUUAUGUAAAAGCACCAAUAACAGUUGUUUUUAGAAUAGGACCAUAUCCAGUCAAAAAUAUACUGCUGGAAACUAUUUGAGAUUUGAUGAAUUAUCUACCACAAAAGUGUAAUGCCAGUAGGCAGUAAACUUGGGGCAUAGCUUAAGAAGAUAUCCAUUUCCAGUAAACUUCUCAACAUGAGCUGUUUUAAAGUAACAUGUCUAAAUCGAGGGGGCAUCAACUUCGACUAUUCACAGUGCGCCCGCUGGUUAAUAUCUAAUAGGUAUUCAGGUGAUUUUUGCGAAUAUUCACAAGAUAUUCAAAAUAUUCAUCGAUAUUCAUCGAUAUUCAUCAAUAUUUAAGGAUAUUAAUCAACAAUCACAGUGAAUAUUCUCUGGUAUUCAGUGAUAUUCACUGGUAUUCAGUGACAUUGAAUGUUUGAAUAUAUUCACAGUUCACCAAAUUUCCAAGUUGGUUCCCCCUCGGUCUAAAUAACAUGUCUGACCAACAUGAAAUUUAAACAGGGAAAGAAACAAUUUAUUUUGAAUGUUCGCGGUGCUUCUGGCGUUCGAGGCACUGUUGCCAACCAGCAUUAUUUCACACAUCAUUUAGUAGUGAGUUGGUACCCUGACAGGUUUGUUUAGAGUACUGUCCUUAAUUAAAUAUUUGAUAAAAUCCGAAGGGAAUGUUUCAUUCCAAGUUAUUGACUCAAGAACUGAAAAAAGGUUACACUACUUUAUUUUCCUGAAGAGUGGCUCGGCUGCAGCUCAUUUUCGUUGCUGUUGUUUACAAGCACCGCGCCUCUCGGAGUGAAAACAUAGUAGCCGGGUACACUAAUCUUAUUUUAUUGUACAUUUAUGGUUAUACGACUCUUUCUAGUUUAAAAUAGUGUUCCUACAGUUAACUAAAUGGUUCAAGAGCAAACCACCAUGCUCGUUGAGCGCGAAUUGCAGCACAAACGAGUACACACCAUUUGGCCUGUUCACGGGACGAAAACAUAACCUCAGAAGCCGUGUAUUUUACCACCAAAAUAUGGAUGUUUUGAACAUAUAAAUUAUUCCAUGGCUUUUCUACACUAAGUGCCUCUGCAUAGUGCUAUUUCAGUUUUUCCUAUUUUGUUUUGCGGAUCAACAACUACAUUGCUUCAAAUAUUGAAUAUUCUGAAAACUAUAUGAGGCAAGCACAUAAUGGGAAGUGAUUUUCAAGACGAUGCAAGUAGAUGAAGACAAACAGCAGUAGUACCGGACAUUUUACUACUUAAAAGAUCUGAAUCAUCUCACCUUAUUCAAUUUUAAUCUAAAGUGCAAGACAAUAAUCAGCCUGUAAGUUAUGUCUAAUAAAAAAAAGAUCAAAUAAUA
This is a long non-coding RNA of Frankliniella occidentalis (western flower thrips), 1457 nucleotides long. RefSeq lists it as uncharacterized. The transcript is spliced from 5 exons. Lineage: Eukaryota; Metazoa; Arthropoda; Insecta; Thysanoptera; Thripidae. The record is from RefSeq and is a predicted model, not a curated record.